UGGGGAAUAUUGGGCAAUGGGCGAAAGCCUGACCCAGCAACGCCGCGUGAGGGAAGAAGGCCUUCGGGUUGUAAACCUCUGUCCUUGGUGACGAAAAAAAUGACGGUAGCCAAGGAGGAAGCCCCGGCUAACUACGUGCCAGCAGCCGCGGUAAUACGUAGGGGGCGAGCGUUGUCCGGAAUUACUGGGCGUAAAGGGUGCGUAGGUGGCCUUUUAAGUUGGAUGUGAAAUCCCCGGGCUUAACUUGGGUGGUGCAUCGAAUACUGGAGGGCUAGAGUGCAGGAGAGGGAAGCGGAAGUCCUAGUGUAGCGGUGAAAUGCGUAGAUAUUAGGAGGAACACCAGUGGCGAAGGCGGCUUUCUGGACUGUAACUGACACUGAGGCACGAAAGCGUGGGGAGCAAACA
RNAcentral lists this ribosomal RNA (405 nucleotides) under uncultured prokaryote. RNAcentral's name for it is "bacterial SSU rRNA". It matches the Rfam family "Bacterial small subunit ribosomal RNA", at positions 355 to 774 of the family's 1533-position model. The record is from RNAcentral.